AAACCAACCGGGAUUACCUUAGUAACGGCGAGUGAAGCGGUAAAAGCUCAAAUUUGAAAUCUAGUACCUUCGGUGCUCGAGUUGUAAUUUGUAGAGGGAUACUUUGGGGCCGUUCCUUGUCUAUGUUCCUUGGAACAGGACGUCAUAGAGGGUGAGAAUCCCGUGUGGCGAGGAGUGCGGUUCUAUGUAAAGUGCUCUCGAAGAGUCGAGUUGUUUGGGAAUGCAGCUCUAAGUGGGUGGUAAAUUCCAUCUAAAGCUAAAUAUUGGCGAGAGACCGAUAGCGAACAAGUACAGUGAUGGAAAGAUGAAAAGAACUUUGAAAAGAGAGUGAAAAAGUACGUGAAAUUGUUGAAAGGGAAGGGCAUUUGAUCAGACAUGGUGUUUUGUGCCCUCUGCUCCUUGUGGGUGGGGGAAUCUCGCAGCUCACUGGGCCAACAUCAGUUUUGGCGGCAGGAUAAAUCUAUAGGAAUGUAGCUUACCUCGGUAAGUGUUAUAGCCUGUGGGAAUACUGCCAGCCGGGACUGAGGACUGCGACUUUGUCAAGGAUGUUGGCAUAAUGGUUAAAUGCCGC
RNAcentral lists this ribosomal RNA (571 nucleotides) under Kazachstania martiniae. RNAcentral's name for it is "eukaryotic LSU rRNA". It matches the Rfam family "Eukaryotic large subunit ribosomal RNA", at positions 62 to 648 of the family's 3401-position model. Lineage: Eukaryota; Fungi; Ascomycota; Saccharomycetes; Saccharomycetales; Saccharomycetaceae. RNAcentral also lists the same sequence under 1 other name. The record is from RNAcentral.